This is a long non-coding RNA of Podarcis raffonei (Aeolian wall lizard), 3330 nucleotides long. RefSeq lists it as uncharacterized. The transcript is spliced from 4 exons. The record is from RefSeq and is a predicted model, not a curated record. NCBI's taxonomy places the organism in Eukaryota, Metazoa, Chordata, Lepidosauria, Squamata, Lacertidae.
GUGUGUUGGUUGGUGCUUGAUGUUUGUGGUGGGCAGCCAAAAGUAGACGGCAGGAGAGGAAGGGGAAUGAGGAAGCAGACCUGAAAGGGAGCAAGAGUGGCUUGGUGGCCAAAGACUUACAAAGAACUGCAUUGCCUAGAGAUCCAAGGAAAAUCAGAAAUUAAAUACUAGUGCCAGCUCUAGUGAGUUCUUUCCCUGCAGGACACCCAGCUCCUCAAUAUUACCUGCUCAUCCUCAGGAGUACAGGCACAUUUGCAAACUGGAGAAGCUGUCAUGGGCACCACACAUGCUACAACCUGUUCUAUUGGCUACAUCAAAAGGCCUCUUUCAAGUCUCGCUUCAGUGGGAGAAGGAAACCUGCAGCCGCCAUAGACUCAUGUGCUUGUUGGUACUUCAAGAAACUUAUACAAACAUCUUUUGCCUAUAAUAGUGAAAUCCCCUCCAUGUCAAUUGGAAGCAGAUGCUGGGAGUUGUUUAAUAUGAUCUGGGGAGCAAAGUUAGAAGAAUGCUCUUCACAUACAAAGCACUUAAGGUUAUGUACCUCUUCAAACUUAAGUUUCACAUCUUCAGAGCCAGGAAAACCACCACCAAUGUCAAGCAGGUACAUGUUGAAACCAAGCUCAACCUAAAAGGCAGAAAUAUUGAAAUGUGAUUGAAAUCAUACUUUUAUUGAUAGUAUUGAUCAGUUUCACCAUCUGAACUAAUGAAGCAAACAAGAAUUUUAACUAAUCUGAAUUAGCAUCUUAGACCAACAGCACAAAAAUGUAGGUUUCCCAAGUUUACUUUAAAUAUUUUGUAUUUCAGACACAUUCUGGCAAUCUCACAGUACUAUGACUCGUUAGUGCUAUAGGAAAUGCUCUUAAAAUGUACUUACUCCCAUAUCAAAGACACAACGGGCAUCAGAAAUAGCUUGCACAAACGUCUCAGGAUCUGUACAGCCACUUCCAACAUGGAAACUAGAAAAGAUGGGUUGAGUUAUUGGGAGUUUUGCUCAUCCUUCUUAACAAAAGCAGAAUUUGUAAGUAGCAAGUGUGCAAUUUCUUCCACACAACCCGGCUGCUCACCUCACUCCAAUUAUGUCGAUAUCAAGUUCUUUUGCUCGUUCAAGGAGCAACCUGCUGGUUUUUAGUGUAGCUCCAAACUUAACACUUAGGCGACAAACAGCCUUUGAAUCAUCUGUUGCAAUGCGCAAGACCAGCCUAGAAAACAUUUUAGAACACAUAAGCACAUGCACAUGUAUUUCAGAACACACAUUUGUAGUUGCUCUGAGAAAAAGUAGCUUAAUAGUUGAGGGUGGGGAGCUACCUUUAUUCUGUCAAAAACAGCAAUGCCACCUGUUUUUUGCACAGAUCUGCCUAAAUGGUCACCGUCUGUUAUCUGGGGCCUCACAUUUACCUAGAGAGAACAUAUAGAUUGUACUAAAAUAAAUUGUAAAUGUUUCUUACUUUGCUUUUGGGUGGGCUCUUGCAACUUUCAUCAGCUCAACUUCACUAUCAAAUGUCAUCAUCUGCACACCAUUGUUUGCAGCAUGCUUAAUUUGAGAGACUUGCUUGCAUGGAUUUGCAUAUAUUAUACGCUCUGGAGGCACACCAACACUCUGGACCAGCUGUAUUUCAGUCUGGAAAAAAAUCCAUUUUUUUAGUUUGCACAUUAGUUACUAGAAAUGGUUUCUCUGGAAAUAAGACAAUUUAAAUCAAAGGCAGACAUAUUUUCAUUUCUAAUACACAGUAUUUAAUCAAAACAUUUAAAAGCAGUCACUUACUUUACUGGCACAAUCAAAUCCUGCCCCAAGAGCAGCCAGAGUUUUCACUAGAGCUAUGCUAUCAUUACAUUUGACGGCAUAGAAAGGAGAUACCCUAGGGAGGGCCUUGUACCACCGCAAAUGUUUUUUGAGAACAUCCCCAAGGUCAGCAACAUAGAAUGCAUCUUUAUCAUCCUGGAAACAAAGAAAACAUUCAUCUGUCAAUAUGCAGUUGCCUACUAGUGUAUAUUACAAUAGCAACAACCCUACGUUUAGUAUAAAACAUUUUAAAAAAAAUAUUCAGUCUAUCUACCAUACUCACCGAGGAAGAAACUUCAUUUAUUUUUUGGUCUAGGAUAUCCUUUGCAGUAAAGCCUUCGUCAAGGAAAGAAAAAUUGAAUUCCUCACCACAGAAGUCAUUCAUCUUGCUUGAUGUUGUUAUACCAAAGUGAUUUUCAGUGAAAAACUGCAAAGACACAGGAAAGAGUUUAUUAGUUCUCCCACCCGUCACAGUGAGACAAGGGGAAUGGAAAAUACAGUGGUACGUCGGGUUAAUAACUUAAUUCAUUUUGGAGGUCCAUUCUUAACCUCAGGUACCACUUAAUUUGUUCUAGAGGUCCGUUCUUAACCUGAAACUGUUCUUAACCUGAGGUACCACUUUAGCAAGUGGGGCUCCCCGCUGUCACCGCGCGAUUUCUGUUCUUAUCCUGAAGCAUGGUUCUUAACCCGAGGUACUAUUUCUGGGUUAGCGGAGUCUUAACCUGAAGCACCUGUAACCCGAGGUACCACGGUACAGCAACUUAAAAAGCCAUCUCUCACAGUUCAAGGUGCAAUUUUGAAGGCAACUACUUUUAGUUGUGCUCCAAGGAAGUCUCUCCAGGAAAGAAAGAUCCUGAAACAGGAAAGUAACCUUUAUGCUCCCUAAGCAAUUUUCAUAUCAGUUACAUGAACUGUUCUGGAUUAUAAAAGGCUUUUAGGCAUCAACAUUUAUGCCAAAAUGUGUCUUUUAAAGAAAUUGGACCUAGGAGCUUCCUGAGUAAACCAGUACCAAAAGACAAACAAACUUUCUUGCAGUGAACAUUGAGAUUACAAGAGGCAAACAAUAGGAAGACAGAGCUUCCUGUGUUUGUUUCUGUUUUACUCAUAAAAGAAGAAAUCUGUCUACAGGUGCAUGUAGUUGCUACAAUUUAAGUGUCCAUUUUCUUCCACAGCUUUCCGAAAACUCAAGUUCUCCGUGGAGUUUAAUUAAGCUACUACAAAAAGUCAAUUGCUGAGGGAGGAUCUACAAUUCUGAAAAACAGCAUAAAAAUAAUUUAAACAGAGCAAAAUGUACAGGCCUGAAAUUUAACUCAAAUUUCAAUUUAUUAUCAAGGAACAACAAGAUGGAUGCCAUUAAAAUGACUAAUUGUGUUUGAAUUCCUAAUUUGCAUUCAGUUCAGUCUACUUUCCAUCUCUGAAAUCACCAUUAAAAGAUUGGGAGGGAAAGAACAGAUGAGAAAAUGUCUGAGAUGUCACUAAUGUGGUACAUUACAGCCUGCACAAAUGCUUUUAGAACACAAGAUUCUAAAAUACACUGUGCUUUUCCAAUG